Babesia sp. Xinjiang is the source of this 46-nucleotide non-coding RNA. The record is from Rfam. NCBI's taxonomy places the organism in Eukaryota, Apicomplexa, Aconoidasida, Piroplasmida, Babesiidae.
GUAUAGGCCCUUUUAAGGGCCAUAUGUAGUCUUAUAAGCUUUUGUU